AAAGUCGUAACAAGGUUUCCGUAGGUGAACCUGCGGAAGGAUCAUUAUCAAGUACCGAGUAGCUAUAAGCUGCUCACCAACCAAUGUGAAUUGGGGUGCUCUGAGCACUCUUAGAUAUAGACGAUAAACGAGUCGGAUAAACACACAAUGAAAAACAACUUUUAACAAUGGAUCUCUUGGCUCUU
This 185-nucleotide unclassified non-coding RNA is filed under the name Basidiomycota sp. Its description in RNAcentral is "partial contains small subunit ribosomal RNA, internal transcribed spacer 1, and 5.8S ribosomal RNA". The stretch from base 1 to 47 matches the Rfam family "Eukaryotic small subunit ribosomal RNA", at positions 1785 to 1831 of the family's 1831-position model. Lineage: Eukaryota; Fungi; Basidiomycota. The record is from RNAcentral.